CCGAUGCAUUGAAUUCAUUUUUUCAUCUGAAAUCUUAUUAUUUAAAUAAUAAUAAUAAUAAUAACAGUUCUGUCGUCGUUUGGUUGUGGGGGUGGGGUGGUUGUUUGUUUUUUUUUUGGUGGGUUUUUCUUUUUAAAAGUGAUAUUCACAAGCAAGGUUUACCACACUGAGAGAAACCAAAAAACAAAAAAAAACCAAAAAAAAAAAUCAGAAUAUAUAUAUAUAUAAUAUAUAUAAAUGCACCACCACGGCCACAGCACAGCAGGUCACGCGCACAGCGUCACUUCCUACGCCUAUUUACAAGGAAUUUCUGUAUGUACAAGGAGGAAGACGGCGGGAGCAUAAAUUAGCAUCUAUUUAUACAAAUAAACAAGAGUCAGGAAAAUAUCCAUCCAGCUGCAGGGGCAGGGGAGCGGCCACAAAGAGCCCCCUGCACCAGGAGCUCUGGGGGGGGUAAAAGGGGUGGGAUGGAUUUGGGGAGGGGGAUUUGGGGGUCCUGUCACAGCACCCACACGCUGGGAAGGGGGUCCCAGGACAGGGGGGUCUCCAGGGCAAUUGGGGUCUCCAGGAAAGAGGGUCCCAGAGCAGGAAAAAGGGCAGGGGGUCCCAGGACAGGGGCAUCUCCAGGGGAGGGGUCUCCAGGCCACAGGGUCCCAGGAAAGGGGGUCCCAGAGCAGGGAAAAGGGCAGAGGGUACCAGGACAGGGUCCCAGGACAGNAGGCCAGGAAUGGGCACUGGUGGGCAUUGGGAAGGACUGGCCAAGUCCCACUGCCAGGGCAGGGACACCUUUCACCCUCCUGCUGCUCCAAACCCCAGCCUGGGGCACUGCCAGGGAUCUACGGCUGGGUGAAAUCCAUCCCUGCCCUCACAGCAAGGAAUUCCUUCCCAAAAUGCCCUCAUGGACACUUCCAGGGCUGGGGGAAAUCCAUCCCCACCCUCACAGGGAGGAAUUCCUACCCCAAAUACUUUCAUGGACAUUUCCCUGAUCUCCAUCCCAAACCCAGAACCUUUCCCUGAUCCCCAUCCCAAACCCCUGAACCUUUCCCUGAACCCCAUCCCAAAUCCCUGAACCUUUCCCUGAUCCCCAUCGCAAAUCCCUGAACCUUUCCCUGAUCCCCAUCCCAAAUCCCUGAACCUUUUCCUGAUCUGCAUCCCAAACCCCUGAACCUUUCCUUGAUCUCCAUCCCAAAUCCCUGAACCUUUCCCUGAUCCCCAUCCCAAAUCUCUGAACCUUUCCCUGAUCUCCAUCCCAAACCCCUGAACCUUUCCUUGAUCCCCAUCCCAAAGCCCUGAACCUUUCCCUGAUCCCCAUCCCAAAUCCCUGAACCUUUCCCUGAUCUCCAUCCCAACCCCAGAACCUUUCCCUGAUCCCCAUCCCAAACCCCUGAACCUUUCCCUGAUCUCCAUCCCAAAUCUCUGAACCUUUCCCUGAUCUCCAUCCCAAAUCUCUGAACCUUUCCUGAUCUCCAUCCCAAACUCCAGAACCUUUCCCUGAUCUCCAUCCCAAACCCCUGAACCUGUCCCUGACCCCCAUCCCAAAUCCCUGAACCUUUCCCUGAUCUCCAUCCCAAAUCUCUGAACCUUUCCUGAUCUCCAUCCCAAAUCUCUGAACCUUUCCCUGAUCCCCAUCCCAAACCCCUGAACCUUUCCCUGAUCCCCAUCCCAAAUCCCUGAACCUUCCCCUGAUCCCCAUCCCAAACCCCAGAACCUUUCCUGGGAUCCAUCCAGGGCUCCAGGGACAGCCAUGAAACCCAUCCCCACCCUGCCAGUGCUGAAUUCCUCCCCCCGAGUGCCCUCCUUGCCCCCCAGCCGUGCUGUCCCUGUGGUUGCAGGCAGGAUGUUCGUGGUGGGCUGCAGCCUGGGCCCCCUGAUGCAUUACUGGUACCUGUGGCUGGACUGGGCGCUGCCGGCGCGGGGCGUGCGCUGCCUGCGCACCGGCAUCAAGAAGGUGCUCAUCGACCAGCUGGUGGCAUCGCCCACCAUGGG
Molecule: long non-coding RNA, 1986 nt
Organism: Zonotrichia albicollis (white-throated sparrow)
Lineage: Eukaryota; Metazoa; Chordata; Aves; Passeriformes; Passerellidae
Source: Ensembl